Suricata suricatta (meerkat) is the source of this 762-nucleotide non-coding RNA. The record is from the annotation of a RefSeq genome assembly. NCBI's taxonomy places the organism in Eukaryota, Metazoa, Chordata, Mammalia, Carnivora, Herpestidae.
UCUGGUUCCUGUACUCAGAGGGCAUGGAGACACCGAAGACGGGGCAGACCCCUCCAGGUGUCCUAUCUCAACUUACACUUCGGGAGUCCGGCCCAGGACUGGUGAAGCCUUCACAGACCCUCUCUCUCACCUGCGUUGUCUCCGGGGGCUCUGUCACCAGCAGUUACUACUGGAACCGGAUCCACCAGCGCCCUGGAAGAGCGCUGGAGUGGAUGGGGUACUGGACGGUCAGUACCAGCUACAACCCGGCUUUCCAGGGCCGCAUCACCAUCACUGCUGACACAUCCAAGAACCAGUUCUCCCUGCAACUGAGCUCCGUGACCACCGAGGACACAGCCGUGUAUUACUGAGCCAGAAGCACAGUGAGGGAAAGUCACUGUUGGCUCAGACACAAACCUCAGUGCAGGGACCUGGAGGGGCUGGGCUGCAGGGCGCUCGAGAUCCGCAAGGGGGCGUAGAGGACCUGCCAGGGGAACUCAGAACAUCAGGAGGUGCUUAGAACCCCUUACCUACAGGAAGCAGCCCAGAAACAGGGCCAGAGCACAGAACCAGGGAGUGAGGACCUCACUGUCAGUAUCUGGGGCUUUCUCUCCCUGACACGCUGACCUCUGGGGACCUCCCUUUCUUUCCUGCCUGGGCUCUCUUUUGUUUCAGUCCCAGUGUGAUGUUUGGACCAUGUAGAUGACGCCAUCUUUUACAAUGUGACAGACGUGCACCGAGCGGUCAAUGCACAAUGCUCUGUGUCUCCCCUUACUUCUUUCU